AGAUUAAGUUAUUAAGGGCGCACGGUGGAUGCCUUGGCACUAGAAGCCGAUGAAGGACGUUACUAACGACGAUAUGCUUUGGGGAGCUGUAAGUAAGCUUUGAUCCAGAGAUUUCCGAAUGGGGAAACCCAGCAUGAGUUAUGUCAUGUUAUCGAUAUGUGAAUACAUAGCAUAUCAGAAGGCACACCCGGAGAACUGAAACAUCUUAGUACCCGGAGGAAGAGAAAGAAAAUUCGAUUCCCUUAGUAGCGGCGAGCGAAACGGGAAGAGCCCAAACCAACAAGCUUGCUUGUUGGGGUUGUAGGACACUCUAUACGGAGUUACAAAGGACGACAUUAGACGAAUCAUCUGGAAAGAUGAAUCAAAGAAGGUAAUAAUCCUGUAGUCGAAAAUGUUGUCUCUCUUGAGUGGAUCCUGAGUACGACGGAGCACGUGAAAUUCCGUCGGAAUCUGGGAGGACCAUCUCCUAAGGCUAAAUACUCUCUAGUGACCGAUAGUGAACCAGUACCGUGAGGGAAAGGUGAAAAGCACCCCGGAAGGGGAGUGAAAUAGAACCUGAAACCGUGUGCUUACAAGUAGUCAGAGCCCGUUAAUGGGUGAUGGCGUGCCUUUUGUAGAAUGAACCGGCGAGUUACGAUUUGAUGCAAGGUUAAGCAGUAAAUGUGGAGCCGUAGCGAAAGCGAGUCUGAAUAGGGCGUUUAGUAUUUGGUCGUAGACCCGAAACCAGGUGAUCUACCCUUGGUCAGGUUGAAGUUCAGGUAACACUGAAUGGAGGACCGAACCGACUUACGUUGAAAAGUGAGCGGAUGAACUGAGGGUAGCGGAGAAAUUCCAAUCGAACCUGGAGAUAGCUGGUUCUCUCCGAAAUAGCUUUAGGGCUAGCCUCAAGUGAUGAUUAUUGGAGGUAGAGCACUGUUUGGACGAGGGGCCCCUCUCGGGUUACCGAAUUCAGACAAACUCCGAAUGCCAAUUAAUUUAACUUGGGAGUCAGAACAUGGGUGAUAAGGUCCGUGUUCGAAAGGGAAACAGCCCAGACCACCAGCUAAGGUCCCAAAAUAUAUGUUAAGUGGAAAAGGAUGUGGCGUUGCCCAGACAACUAGGAUGUUGGCUUAGAAGCAGCCAUCAUUUAAAGAGUGCGUAAUAGCUCACUAGUCGAGUGACACUGCGCCGAAAAUGUACCGGGGCUAAACAUAUUACCGAAGCUGUGGAUUGUCCUUUGGACAAUGGUAGGAGAGCGUUCUAAGGGCGUUGAAGCAUGAUCGUAAGGACAUGUGGAGCGCUUAGAAGUGAGAAUGCCGGUGUGAGUAGCGAAAGACGGGUGAGAAUCCCGUCCACCGAUUGACUAAGGUUUCCAGAGGAAGGCUCGUCCGCUCUGGGUUAGUCGGGUCCUAAGCUGAGGCCGACAGGCGUAGGCGAUGGAUAACAGGUUGAUAUUCCUGUACCACCUAUAAUCGUUUUAAUCGAUGGGGGGACGCAGUAGGAUAGGCGAAGCGUGCGAUUGGAUUGCACGUCUAAGCAGUAAGGCUGAGUAUUAGGCAAAUCCGGUACUCGUUAAGGCUGAGCUGUGAUGGGGAGAAGACAUUGUGUCUUCGAGUCGUUGAUUUCACACUGCCGAGAAAAGCCUCUAGAUAGAAAAUAGGUGCCCGUACCGCAAACCGACACAGGUAGUCAAGAUGAGAAUUCUAAGGUGAGCGAGCGAACUCUCGUUAAGGAACUCGGCAAAAUGACCCCGUAACUUCGGGAGAAGGGGUGCUCUUUAGGGUUAACGCCCAGAAGAGCCGCAGUGAAUAGGCCCAAGCGACUGUUUAUCAAAAACACAGGUCUCUGCUAAACCGUAAGGUGAUGUAUAGGGGCUGACGCCUGCCCGGUGCUGGAAGGUUAAGAGGAGUGGUUAGCUUCUGCGAAGCUACGAAUCGAAGCCCCAGUAAACGGCGGCCGUAACUAUAACGGUCCUAAGGUAGCGAAAUUCCUUGUCGGGUAAGUUCCGACCCGCACGAAAGGCGUAACGAUUUGGGCACUGUCUCAACGAGAGACUCGGUGAAAUCAUAGUACCUGUGAAGAUGCAGGUUACCCGCGACAGGACGGAAAGACCCCGUGGAGCUUUACUGUAGCCUGAUAUUGAAAUUCGGCACAGCUUGUACAGGAUAGGUAGGAGCCUUUGAAACGUGAGCGUUAGCUUACGUGGAGGCGCUGGUGGGAUACUACCCUAGCUGUGUUGGCUUUCUAACCCGCACCACUUAUCGUGGUGGGAGACAGUGUCAGGCGGGCAGUUUGACUGGGGCGGUCGCCUCCUAAAAGGUAACGGAGGCGCUCAAAGGUUCCCUCAGAAUGGUUGGAAAUCAUUCAUAGAGUGUAAAGGCAUAAGGGAGCUUGACUGCGAGACCUACAAGUCGAGCAGGGUCGAAAGACGGACUUAGUGAUCCGGUGGUUCCGCAUGGAAGGGCCAUCGCUCAACGGAUAAAAGCUACCCCGGGGAUAACAGGCUUAUCUCCCCCAAGAGUUCACAUCGACGGGGAGGUUUGGCACCUCGAUGUCGGCUCAUCGCAUCCUGGGGCUGUAGUCGGUCCCAAGGGUUGGGCUGUUCGCCCAUUAAAGCGGUACGCGAGCUGGGUUCAGAACGUCGUGAGACAGUUCGGUCCCUAUCCGUCGUGGGCGUAGGAAAUUUGAGAGGAGCUGUCCUUAGUACGAGAGGACCGGGAUGGACAUACCUCUGGUGUACCAGUUGUCGUGCCAACGGCAUAGCUGGGUAGCUAUGUGUGGACGGGAUAAGUGCUGAAAGCAUCUAAGCAUGAAGCCCCCCUCAAGAUGAGAUUUCCCAACUUCGGUUAUAAGAUCCCUCAAAGAUGAUGAGGUUAAUAGGUUCGAGGUGGAAGCAUGGUGACAUGUGGAGCUGACGAAUACUAAUCGAUCGAAGACUUAAUCAAAUU
Molecule: ribosomal RNA, 2927 nt
Filed under: Staphylococcus aureus
Lineage: Bacteria; Bacillati; Bacillota; Bacilli; Caryophanales; Staphylococcaceae
Description: bacterial LSU rRNA
Rfam family: Bacterial large subunit ribosomal RNA
Source: RNAcentral